Vicia villosa (hairy vetch) is the source of this 400-nucleotide long non-coding RNA. RefSeq lists it as uncharacterized. Lineage: Eukaryota; Viridiplantae; Streptophyta; Magnoliopsida; Fabales; Fabaceae. The transcript is spliced from 2 exons. The record is from RefSeq and is a predicted model, not a curated record.
AGCAUUAAUAAAUCAUAAAGAGAUAAAGUAAUAUCCUAUUUGAUACAUCUUGAGGAACCAAAAUGGUUAAAAUUGUCAAAUUUGCGCAUGUUAUAAUUAUCUUUCUCACUUUAUAUCUUGUCGCAGUGAUAGCAAAAUUGGAGGGUGAUGAUUGUCUUGCUAAUGUUGAUUGUGAAUGCGACCAUCCAUUGAUACCUGAGUGUAUUUUUAACUUGUGUAAGUGUAUUUUGUUAGAAGUAACUCAUAUUCAAAAACAGUACUGUUAAUCAAAAGUCGAAGUUUUUGAGGUUGUUGUUUCAAAAAUUAUGCUUAGUUUAUGGGUUUUAGUUUGUUUUGUUAGCUUGUUUUAGCAAUGUUUGUGUGACAUAGUUUACUUACGUAUCAUUUUGAUUUUGGUGUA